Molecule: small RNA, 406 nt
Filed under: Drosophila pseudoobscura pseudoobscura
Lineage: Eukaryota; Metazoa; Arthropoda; Insecta; Diptera; Drosophilidae
Description: GA32518
Source: RNAcentral
UUUUCUUAUUUCUGCAGCUGCUGUUGUUUCUUGAUCAGGGAGCUCCCGCUCCCAAUCCCAUUUCUACUUGCAUAUUUAAUUUCUUAACACUUCUCUUAGUCCUUUGUCACCCCAUGCAAAUUGUGUUGUUAAUCGUAAGUGCUGGAGGAGGAGGAGGAGUAUUGGUGACAAAAACGGCCUACAGCAAAGCUCUUGUGCUGUGUCUUCCCCUCCCCGAUGAAUGGGCUGAAACUUAUGUACUUGUAGUACAUAACAACCGUAAUUACCGGUUUUUGCAACGUUAUCUUCUGAUACGAAAGCGACAGGCGCCAGAAGCGAACCCCAAGGGUGGCGCCAGACAUGAAACUAAAUGCACUAAAUGGCUGCCAUUAUACUCUUUACCAAUCUUACAUUGUGGAACAAAACU